This is a long non-coding RNA of Cyprinus carpio carpio, 507 nucleotides long. The record is from Ensembl. NCBI's taxonomy places the organism in Eukaryota, Metazoa, Chordata, Actinopteri, Cypriniformes, Cyprinidae.
CGCCACAAUCUCAACAAUAUCAUUUCUGAGUAUAAAGGAAACCCUGUUGCUGAGGGAGCUUGAGUAAUCUGAAUAGUUUUCUGUCAUUAGACAAUACGUCAGCCUCAUUAGAAUCAAGCAUUCCCAAGAGGCUUCAGACUUUGCCCACAGCAGACAGGAAACCCUCUCUGAUCACAUAAACAGGGAACACUGAAACCAAAAACGGAGAAUCCAACCAAAGGUCUUUGCGAGGCAACGCUUCCCUCCCUAAGGUUUCUAUUUUGUCUUCAUAUAAACAUGGACCCAUCAUUAUGAUGAGGGACUGCUUGGAGGCCUCGACAGAAUCCACAUGAUUCCCAGUGCAUGAGAUGGUGCUGAAGGGGAAGCUAAUCCUCACCCUGUCAUCUCCCCCAAAACUUCCACUUCCAGAUGUUUCCUGUAUUGUCACUCAUGUCUGCUUAUACGAGGGCCAAAAGGCUUUAGUAUGAAGUUUACAUUGUCUGAAAUGUCUUCUCUUUGAAUUUUGAA